RNAcentral lists this ribosomal RNA (253 nucleotides) under uncultured bacterium. RNAcentral's name for it is "partial 16S ribosomal RNA". It matches the Rfam family "Bacterial small subunit ribosomal RNA", at positions 524 to 776 of the family's 1533-position model. The record is from RNAcentral.
GACGAAGGAUUCAAGCGUUGUCCGGAUUUACUGGGUUUAAAGGGUGCGUAGGCGGAAGUCUAAGUCAGUGGUGAAAUCCUGCAGCUUAACUGCAGAACUGCCAUUGAAACUGGAUUUCUUGAAUACAGUGGAGGUAGAUGGAAUAUAACAUGUAGCGGUGAAAUGCUUAGAUAUGUUAUAGAACACCGAUUGCGAAGGCAGUCUGCUACGCUGUCAUUGACGCUGAGGCACGAAAGCGUGGGGAGCGAACAGG